Rhodamnia argentea is the source of this 320-nucleotide long non-coding RNA. RefSeq lists it as uncharacterized. The transcript has 4 exons. NCBI's taxonomy places the organism in Eukaryota, Viridiplantae, Streptophyta, Magnoliopsida, Myrtales, Myrtaceae. The record is from RefSeq and is a predicted model, not a curated record.
UCUCCGUGAGAUCACGGUUGAAAGUUAGUCCGAAUUCGAUCCCGACUCUCUUUUCAAAAAUGAGUUUCAAAAGUUAGAACUCCGCUUGGUAAGAUUAUUGAAGCGGGGUUAUAAUUUUUAACUCGAGAAGCCAAAGUUGAAAUGACUCAACUAAUCUUGGUUACAUCGUGGGAUCAUGAUUAAUCUUGAUUAUGUGCGCGAGAUUGUCGCCUUGUCGUAAGUCUUUCACUUCAAUUUGUCAGCCUUUAGGAUAGUUAGAAUAGGGUUAACCUCACGAUCCAUGUGCAUGUCUAAUUUGACUUAUAUUGCAUCUUUGACGG